GGCUCGGGGGUCCCAGUUC
This 19-nucleotide small nuclear RNA is filed under the name Arabidopsis thaliana (thale cress). Its description in RNAcentral is "snRNA_05814". The record is from RNAcentral. Lineage: Eukaryota; Viridiplantae; Streptophyta; Magnoliopsida; Brassicales; Brassicaceae.